CCAUGGCAACAGCGCCCAGGCCCCUACCUGCCCGCUCCCAGGCACAGGCAUUACCUUUCUCCAUCUGUAGAGGCUUUCUUCUCCAGCUGUGCUCCCGGGGCAGAGCCCAGCACUCCUGCAGCAUGGAUUCGGUUCAGGUCCAACCAGGUGCCACCAACGUAAGAAGCUAAAAGCACUAAAACCCUUCGAGCCAUCUGGAAAUGUAAGAACUAUUCAAGAGCAGUCUGGCCCCCUCCUCACACUGGCUCUGCAAGCGCUGCCUGGCCCUCUCCUCACACACGCUCUGCAAGCGCUGCCUGGCCCUCUCCUCACACUGGCUCCGAGGUCUGCACACCCACAUGUAAAUGCAGAGCCUGGCAGUCCAUUCAUCACCGUGCUAAUUGGCUCCACUUCGCAUCAGGUCAUAUUCCAAUCCUUGGCCAGCGCUCACUGUUUACAUGCCGUGCCCUGCGUGCUGCCACACUGAGCCUGGCUGCAACAGACAGAAUGGCCCCAAAACAGCUGGCUGUGAACAGUGCUAGUCCUAUCAACAAACUUGCCUUCGGGGAUUAAAAUUACAUCGUCCUGGGGUUACUUGCUAUUAAAAAGCAACAAUCUCUCAUCUUUCCAUAUAUUCUCAGAGAGGGGUCAGGCACUGGGAACAGGCUGCCCAGGGAAGUGGUGGAGUCACCAAUACUGGAGAUGUUUAAGGAAAAGGUAGAUGUAGUACUGAGGGAUGUGAUUUAGUGGGCAAUAUUGGUGGUAGAUGGACCACUGGACUAGAUGAUCCUAGUGGUCUUUUCCAACCUUAAUGAUUCUAUUCGAUGAUUGCACUCAUUUGGUGUCAGGUACUUCCAACACACCAGAUCAGACUGUUUCUGGAAUAGAUUCUUCUCCGGCUGUACUUCUUCAGGGAAGGACCAGCAUCACCUUUUCUAUCCCAUGUAAUUGUACAAAAUGCCAGCCUUAAUGGCAUCUGGGCAGACCAAGCUCUUUGAAGUUACUCACCUCUCUGAGGAGAAAGAAGUACUAAAUUGUUCUGAAUUGUUUCAGGUAAGGAAAAUAAGAGAGAGAGAGAGAGAGACAGAGAGACAAAGAGAAAAAAAACUGACACAGGACUUAGGAUGACACAAAUUAUAUUUCUCAACAUCGCCAAGAAACAGAAUGGGACAAAUCCAUCUAGUACUUGUCACUGGAACUGGGCGUCACAGCUCUGAAUACAAUGGGAAUUGUUCAGCUUUGUUUAAACAAAACAAGAAUUAAAAUAAUAAUAAUAAAAAAAAAAAAACACCCAAAAACCAAA
This is a long non-coding RNA of Gallus gallus (chicken), 1282 nucleotides long. RefSeq lists it as uncharacterized. The record is from RefSeq and is a predicted model, not a curated record. Lineage: Eukaryota; Metazoa; Chordata; Aves; Galliformes; Phasianidae. The transcript has 2 exons.